Mesocricetus auratus (golden hamster) is the source of this 621-nucleotide long non-coding RNA. RefSeq lists it as uncharacterized. The record is from RefSeq and is a predicted model, not a curated record. Lineage: Eukaryota; Metazoa; Chordata; Mammalia; Rodentia; Cricetidae. The transcript is spliced from 3 exons.
GACUCUGGUCACUGGGAGGCUUGAGGCAGCUGGUGCUCCUGAUGCUCUCUCCCGUGUACCUGCCACGUCCAUCUACUCUGGAGAGCCUUCCCAGAGUUGCCCUGGCUCUACAACACUGGCAUAAGACUCCCUUCCCCUUACGGGCUGCCAUCUUUGUCCCCAGUACCCAGAGCAUACAUGCACACCCUCUCCACCACCACCCUCAGCCCAUAAAUCAUCUGGACUGGGCUCAUUCAGCAGCUCCAGGAGGCCCUGGCUGUGGGACUCAGCCCCCCACUCUGAUUUUGUCAUCAGAAGAGCUGGCUUGCUCUGCGUGAAGCUGAACCAUGCUGAAGUCAUAUGAAGGGGACUGAGGCAGUCUCUGGCCAGCCGUUCAUGAGGAGCACAGGCCCCAGAGCCCAGUGUCCUCAAAGAACCAAGUGAACCCUGUCCCUGGAAGAACUUGGAAGUGGACCCUCCUCCAGCUGGCCCUGAAAAUGAAGUCCAUGUGACAUCCACAGGGGCUGACCCACUGUGAAGCAGACUGUAAACGAAGUUUCUUUCCUGCCCUGUCCUUCAUUCAGUUCCAAACAAACACACAGAGGCUUCUGUUAAUUAUAAAUUGAUGACUCGGGAUUCUCA